This 1229-nucleotide long non-coding RNA is filed under the name Moschus moschiferus (Siberian musk deer). RNAcentral describes it as "lncRNA (ENSMMSG00000003967.1)". Lineage: Eukaryota; Metazoa; Chordata; Mammalia; Artiodactyla; Moschidae. The record is from RNAcentral.
CCCCCACUUACUCUUUCUUCCAUGUAUCACUUUCCCGAGACAUUCUGGAGAAGCAAAACAAGGAGUCACGAACCAGACCCAACAUCCCAAUAGGCUCUGCUUUCCAACACCUGAUCUUAAGUUUGAGAUUUUCUCCUGGACCCAGCCAACCCAAAUUCCAGUGCCAAUACUUGUUAGGGACCCUGAAGCCUGUUUCCAGCUUUCACCACUAUCAGGAGCCCAGGAGUCCAGCUUGCUCUUCCCCCGAUACCUAACUCUCUCCUUCACCCAGACAUGAGAACUCAGGACUCUGGACCCCAAACACCCCAUCCGCAGUGAUCCCAGAACCCCAGUACCCACCUACCUGGGAUCCUGGAGACCUCUCUUACUCUCCUGCCUGGAGAGGCUUUUCACAUUCACACCUCAAUUCCUUGCCUGUCUGGUCAAUUUCUAAACAUAACUGACCCUCUCUUUGGAAAACAGGGACAUAAUCUCUGAGUCUCUGGGAAGUUAGCAGGGGAGAAAAGAGGGCUCAGAGGGAGGGUGGGGGAUUCCCUUGGAACCUGCCCUAAUCCCCCUCCCUUCUGACCCCACCUGAGCUCCACUUCCAACAAAGCAAUGACCUCUGGCCUCUGCUGCAGCCAGGCAACCCAGCUCCAGGGGUUCUAAAUUGGAAGACCGUGCAAGUGUUCCUUAAAGGGACCUGCGAGGGGCGUCGUCGCAAGCUCUCUUCUCUCUUACAUAAGAAACUUAUAAUGUGACCUGUGCCAACCACUAUCGAUCUGUAAUUUAGGCGAGAAAAGUAAAUUAGAAAACUACAACUCCCAUGAGCCAAAGAGGCCAAGAUGCCCACGGAAGUAGACUCAUUUUGCCCCGGUCCGAGAGGGAGUUGUAGUUCUCUCUGAAAGUCUCUGUUCUUUCUCCUAAAAAGCAGGAUAUGUGGCGUCAAAAGGUAGGGCUUCCAAGAAAGGAGGCUAGGCUUUCGAGAAAAGGCCAGCGACUUCGACAAGGGGCGGAGCCGCUAGACAGGGGCCCGAGGAACCUGGAGCCAGCGUGGACCAAUCAGGCUGCUGAGAUCGGGUCCUCUGCGGGAAAGUGGGCGUGGCCUAGGGGGGAAAACACCAAGAAAGCUCCGGAGGGCCUUUGCCAGGAAGACGCCCUCUGCGGUGAAGGAGAGGGGGCGGGGAGCGGCGCUGGAAGUCCAGACUCCUGAGUCCAGGGGGAGGAGUCGUCUUGGGACAGACAUAUUC